RNAcentral lists this long non-coding RNA (456 nucleotides) under Populus trichocarpa (black cottonwood). RNAcentral's name for it is "long non-coding RNA (PTRI_LNC002334)". The record is from RNAcentral. Lineage: Eukaryota; Viridiplantae; Streptophyta; Magnoliopsida; Malpighiales; Salicaceae.
CCUCUUAAACACUUUGGACUGAAACAGAGUGGGCUAAGAGGAGGGAUUUUAGGACUUGGAGGAGUAGGGCACAUGGGGGUGAAGAUAGCAAAGGCAAUGGGACACCACGUAACUGUGAUUAGUUCUUCUGACAAGAAGCGGGAGGAGGCUAUGGAACAUCUUGGUGCUGAUGAAUACUUGGUCAGCUCGGAUGUGGAAAGCAUGCAAAAAGCUGCUGAUCAACUUGACUAUAUCAUCGAUACUGUGCCUGUGGUUCACCCUCUCGAGCCUUACCUUUCUCUAUUGAAGCUUGAUGGCAAGCUGAUCUUGAUGGGUGUUAUUAAUGCCCCAUUGCAGUUUGUUACGCCUAUGGUUAUGCUUGGUGAGUGUCCCUCUAUUUGCUUUGAAGAUUAGUUAUGUAUUCUCUACUUAAUUUUCAAUUGAGUAUAAACCUGGGAAAUUUUUGCUAUAAUCCAC